RNAcentral lists this ribosomal RNA (264 nucleotides) under uncultured bacterium. Its description in RNAcentral is "partial 16S ribosomal RNA". It matches the Rfam family "Bacterial small subunit ribosomal RNA", at positions 793 to 1055 of the family's 1533-position model. The record is from RNAcentral.
GUCCACGCCGUAAACGAUGGGAACCUGACGUCGGUCUGCUCUGCGGAUCGGUGUCGUAGCUAACGCGCUAAGUUCCCCGCCUGGGGAGUACGGCCGCAAGGUUGAAACUCAAAGGAAUUGACGGGGCCCGCACAAGCGGUGGAGUAUGUGGUUUAAUUCGAUGCAACGCGAAGAACCUUACCUGGGCUUGACAUGCUAGGAAUCCUGCAGAGAUGCGGGAGUGCCCGCAAGGGAACCUAGACACAGGUGCUGCAUGGCUGUCGU